CGUAGAGAAAUCGAGUCUUAAUAGGGCGUUUAGUUGCUGGGUAUAGACCCGAAACCAGGCGAUCUAUCCAUGAGCAGGUUGAAGGUUGGGUAACACUAACUGGAGGACCGAACCCACUGUCGUUGAAAAGCCAGGGGAUGACUUGUGGAUAGGGGUGAAAGGCUAAUCAAGCCUGGUGAUAGCUGGUUCUCCCCGAAAGCUAUUUAGGUAGCGCCUCGGACGAAUACCAUAGGGGGUAGAGCACUGUUUCGGCUAGGGGGUCAUCCCGACUUACCAAACCGAUGCAAACUCCGAAUACCUAUGAGUACUAUCCGGGAGACAGACUGCGGGUGCUAACGUCCGUAGUCAAGAGGAAAACAAUC
This 362-nucleotide ribosomal RNA is filed under the name Acinetobacter baumannii. Its description in RNAcentral is "partial 23S ribosomal RNA". It matches the Rfam family "Bacterial large subunit ribosomal RNA", at positions 667 to 1027 of the family's 2925-position model. Lineage: Bacteria; Pseudomonadati; Pseudomonadota; Gammaproteobacteria; Moraxellales; Moraxellaceae. The record is from RNAcentral.